AAGUCCAAGGACCUGGAGUACUGGGAUUCUAGACAGAACCUCAAGCGUGGGGUACACAGCAUGAACUGAGGUCACAGUGGGCUGGGCGGCAUGGCCAAAUGACUCAAUAGUGAAGUGAUGACUAAUCAUUGUAGUGCUCCUUAUAUCUCUCCCCCUAUAUCCCACCACAGUCACCACAAAGGCCAGAGCUGGUCCUAGAGUCUGGCAAAAGGCUGAGCAUGAAACUUCCAAUGGUGCCAGGCUUCCAGCAGGAGGAAUAGAGGCUGUGGUAAAGGAAACCGUUGGCAAAUGAAAGAAACCAGAAACUGUCACUACCCAUAACAACGAAACAACAAAAAAAUUUACAGAAAAGGAAGGGGAGACAAAGGAAAUUGUUUAAAGUGGUUGAAGCCUGUACAGUCUGAUGUGAUCAUUAGGCGUGAGGGUGCCGCAGCAUGGUGGUGCCUAAGACACUGACUCCAAUUUUCCAGUGAGAACAGGAAGGCUUUAAGCACCAAAGCCAUGCUGUCCAGUAAUACUGCUGAGCAAGAAAGCUUUUCUUGAAGGAAGAGAAUAGCGUUUAAUUGAGACUAUUUUUGUCAGUCUCCUAACAUGCUCCUCAGACCACUAAUAUGCAAAAGAACCUAAGGAUCUGGUCACCAAGUUACGUCAAAAGAGUUUACCCCAUAGUCCUUUUUACUGCCUUUUGCAGAACAAACGUUUAAUAAUGUCGCUAUUGUUCAUUGGUUAUCAAGAAAUAACUCAUUGUAACUCAGAAGUGCUUAGCAAAGAAUCUAUCUCAUAUGUACUUUCUUUAUUUCAAGAACUUUAAGGAGGCAGGUUUUCUACGUGUGUUCACCAAAGCGCCAAGAUUUUUUUUAAUAUUUUGAGAAAAUAUUUUCAGUAAAUCUGUAUUCAUUGAAUGAAAUAUUAAGUGGAUCCAUAAAGAAGCAGAUGAUAUAAGUCCCAGGAUAACAUCAGGAGAAUCUGAACACAGUGUAGCUGAAGCAUUUCAUCACCCCCCAACAAGAAAAUUGCUAUUUUGCCAACUAUUCUACCACAUUGCAGUGUUUCUAAGAUCUACAUUUUUUUCACAUUUAUUUCUAAAAAUCAAAAUGUGAAUUGCAGUCAACUGGUGACAUCUUAGAUCUGAUGAGAUAUGGUGGUUCUCCUGGAAAAGCAAAAGUUAGUAAUUUUCAGCAUAUCAUUGGCAUCCAAUGUUUAACUCUGGGGGGGUCAAAAGACAUCUUCAAGCACUAGUGAAGAAGACAUAUUUAAUUUGAGGACAUUUUUAUUAUAAUUUAGUAGGUAAGUGAUGUUCCUUCAAGGCAUUCAAGGAACCCACUCUGGAAUAGACUAAAGAGACUCUGAGUCAGUUAGUGUUGCCCACGAGGGUCACAGCCGGUCAAUGGCAGACCUGGACUGAGGUUCCUGCCCAGUCUGGAGGGUCAACACAGGGUGUGUUGUCCUGCUACCUGUCAGAGCAGGCACAAAGCAAGACUCAGUGAGGCAGACCCCGAUUUGCUCUGAAGCAUCCUUCUAUCUGGGCAUUGGCAGAACUCCCAAAUGAGUGGGUAAAGGUACCAAAAAAGUUCAGCCUCAAAUGAGUGGGUCAGUAAGACAUGAGACAGUGAAACGUUGUUCAAUUGUGGGACAUGGGAUUGGCUUGGCAGAGUCACUCUGCUCCAUGCUCAGCCUGCAGCCUCCUCCCUGGUAUCAAGGCCUUCCUACUUCCAGGUUCAUCUUUUGAAAUACAUCAUUUAUUUUCAAAAUAUACUGAUGUUAAUAAAAAUAAUGCCAAAGAUAUACUAAAAGUUUAUUUUCUAUAUCUUUUGGAAAAUUUAUAAAUUUCCAUAUAAAGAAAAUGAAAAUGUCUUUUAAAUUUUUUAGCAUGCAAAACCACAGUAAUCCAAAGUAUACAUUAGUUAUGAGCUAAAAUUAUACCAUCUGAAGGUGCAUUUUAUGAGCAAUGCAUACAAUGUCUAUUAACAAAUUAUACCAACAUGUUAUUUGUAAUACGUUAAAUACUUUUACUCAUAAUGCUUUGUAAGCUUUAAAGGGCCCUACUUAAUUAGAUGGGAUAAAUGAACACAGCACAAACUUUCAUUUUUUUUUAAUGCCUUUCAGCAAGUGAUCAAAUUUUGAAAUUUAUCUCAGCGUUCUCUUUUUUCCUGCUUCCCCAAAACAUGGUAAUCACCUUGUAUGUAUACCAUUGGCCUUGUCGUUGGCUGUUAUUGCAUAGUAGAUGUUGAGUUUUUAAAUUUGAUAUUUGAUCUUGACUUAACCUAAGUCUCAGUUUCUCCCUUUGAAAUGAGGAUAAUGAUAUUUACUUAGCAGAGUGUUAUUAGGAGUAAAUGAGACAACAUAUGUGAAACAAAGCAAAGCAGCCCCUUUCCUGUAAUAAGU
Molecule: long non-coding RNA, 2385 nt
Filed under: Homo sapiens (human)
Lineage: Eukaryota; Metazoa; Chordata; Mammalia; Primates; Hominidae
Description: HSALNT0341991
Source: RNAcentral